Molecule: small nucleolar RNA, 145 nt
Filed under: Gossypium arboreum
Lineage: Eukaryota; Viridiplantae; Streptophyta; Magnoliopsida; Malvales; Malvaceae
Description: small nucleolar RNA snoR134
Rfam family: small nucleolar RNA snoR134
Source: Rfam by way of RNAcentral
AUGCACAAACUCUCCCGGGCUUAUCUGAUUUUUAGAUUUGAAGAAAAAUGCCCCAAUGUUGGUGCUAAAACCAUGCUGUUUUACGUGUUGAGGAACAGCCUUUCUUUACCACUGGCUCUUCUGUGUCAAAUCGGCGGCUACAUCC